CCUACACGACCGUACCGCAAACCGACACUGGUGCGCGAGAUGAGUAUUCUAAGGCGCUUGAGAGAACUCGGGAGAAGGAACUCGGCAAAUUGACACCGUAACUUCGGAAGAAGGUGUGCCUUUAGUAGGUGAAGGGAUUUACUCCUGGAGCCCAAUGAGGUUGCAAAAAAUCGGUGGCUGCGACUGUUUAUUAAAAACACAGCACUCUGCAAACACGAAAGUGGACGUAUAGGGUGUGACGCCUGCCCGGUGCUGGAAGAUUAAAUGAUGGGGUGCAAGCUCUUGAUUGAAGUCCCAGUAAACGGCGGCCGUAACAAUAACGGUCCUAAGGUAGCGAAAUUCCUUGUCGGGUAAGUUCCGACCUGCACGAAUGGCGUAACGAUGGCCACACUGUCUCCUCCCGAGACUCAGCGAAGUUGAAAUGUUUGUGAUGAUGCAAUCUCCCCGCGGAAAGACGGAAAGACCCCAUGAACCUUUACUGUAGCUUUGUAUUGGACUUUGAACAGAUCUGUGUAGGAUAGGUGGGAGGCUUUGAAGCAGGGUCGCUAGAUCUUGUGGAGCCAACGUCGAAAUACCACCCUGGUGUGUUUGAGGUUCUAACCUAGGUCCAUUAUCUGGAUCGGGGACAGUGCAUGGUAGGCAGUUUGACUGGGGCGGUCUCCUCCCAAAGCGUAACGGAGGAGUUCGAAGGUACGCUAGGUACGGUCGGACAUCGUGCUAAUAGUGCAAUGGCAUAAGCGUGCUUAACUGCGAGACUGACAAGUCGAGCAGAUGCGAAAGCAGGACAUAGUGAUCCGGUGGUUCUGUAUGGAAGGGCCAUCGCUCAACGGAUAAAAGGUACUCUGGGGAUAACAGGCUGAUACCGCCCAAGAGUUCAUAUCGACGGCGGUGUUUGGCACCUCGAUGUCGGCUCAUCUCAUCCUGGGGCUGUAGCCGGUCCCAAGGGUAUGGCUGUUCGCCAUUUAAAGAGGUACGUGAGCUGGGUUUAAAACGUCGUGAGACAGUUUGGUCCCUAUCUUCCGUGGGCGCUGCAGAUUUGAGGAAGCCUGCUCCUAGUACGAGAGGACCGGAGUGGACGCACCUCUGGUGUAUCGGUUGUCACGCCAGUGGCAUUGCCGAGUAGCUAUGUGCGGAAGAGAUAACCGCUGAAAGCAUCUAAGCGGGAAACUCGUUUCAAGAUGAGAUCUGCCGGGGCCUUGAGCCCCCUAAAGAGUCGUUCAAGACCAGGACGUUGAUAGGUCAGGUGUGGAAGCGCAGUAAUGCGUUAAGCUAACUGAUACUAAUUGCUCGUGCGGCUUGACCCU
RNAcentral lists this ribosomal RNA (1304 nucleotides) under metagenome. RNAcentral's name for it is "bacterial LSU rRNA". It matches the Rfam family "Bacterial large subunit ribosomal RNA", at positions 1633 to 2925 of the family's 2925-position model. The record is from RNAcentral.